RNAcentral lists this ribosomal RNA (658 nucleotides) under uncultured bacterium. Its description in RNAcentral is "bacterial SSU rRNA". It matches the Rfam family "Bacterial small subunit ribosomal RNA", at positions 187 to 848 of the family's 1533-position model. The record is from RNAcentral.
GCAUGUUCACAUGAUUAAAGGUAUUCCGGUAGACGAUGGGGAUGCGCUCCAUUAGAUAGUAGGCGGGGUAACGGCCCACCUAGUCUUCGAUGGAUAGGGGUUCUGAGAGGAAGGUCCCCCACAUUGGAACUGAGACACGGUCCAAACUCCUACGGGAGGCAGCAGUGAGGAAUAUUGGUCAAUGGGCGAGAGCCUGAACCAGCCAAGUAGCGUGAAGGAUGACUGCCCUAUGGGUUGUAAACUUCUUUUAUAAAGGAAUAAAGUCGGGUAUGCAUACCUGUUUGCAUGUACUUUAUGAAUAAGGAUCGGCUAACUCCGUGCCAGCAGCCGCGGUAAUACGGAGGAUCCGAGCGUUAUCCGGAUUUAUUGGGUUUAAAGGGAGCGUAGAUGGAUGUUUAAGUCAGUUGUGAAAGUUUGCGGCUCAACCGUAAAAUUGCAGUUGAUACUGGAUAUCUUGAGUGCAGUUGAGGCAGGCGGAAUUCGUGGUGUAGCGGUGAAAUGCUUAGAUAUCACGAAGAACUCCGAUUGCGAAGGCAGCCUGCUAAGCUGCAACUGACAUUGAGGCUCGAAAGUGUGGGUAUCAAACAGGAUUAGAUACCCUGGUAGUCCACACGGUAAACGAUGAAUACUCGCUGUUUGCGAUAUACAGCAAGCGGCC